GGUGUGAAACGCACGGAGACGAGCAGCGAGUCGUAGAUGGUGUGGCAGCUACGCGGCAUCAAGGCUGAGCUCAAGAGCAUGCCGCGCUUCUCAGUCUUCGGUCUCUUCGAGUUGGGCCGACACUGCCUGCUGUCGAUGGGAUCCAUCGCGCUGACCUACGUCAUCAUCGCAGUCCAGUUCACGACGAGCAACAGCCCCGUCACGUGCAAGGCCUUCGCGGC
Long non-coding RNA from Hyalella azteca, 221 nucleotides. RefSeq lists it as uncharacterized. The transcript has 3 exons. The record is from RefSeq and is a predicted model, not a curated record. NCBI's taxonomy places the organism in Eukaryota, Metazoa, Arthropoda, Malacostraca, Amphipoda, Hyalellidae.